Molecule: ribosomal RNA, 253 nt
Filed under: uncultured bacterium
Lineage: Bacteria
Description: partial 16S ribosomal RNA
Rfam family: Bacterial small subunit ribosomal RNA
Source: RNAcentral
UACAGAGGGUGCAAGCGUUGUUCGGAAUUACUGGGCGUAAAGCGCGCGCAGGCGGGUCUGUAAGUCGGGAGUGAAAUCUCACUGCUCAACGGUGAGGCUGCUUCUGAUACUGCAGAUCUUGAGACCGGUAGAGGUUGGUGGAAUUGCAGGUGUAGCGGUGGAAUGCGUAGAGAUCUGCAAGAACACCAGUUGCGAAGGCGGCCGACUGGACACAUAUUGACGCUGAGGCUCGAAAGCAUGGGGAGCAAACAGG